Molecule: long non-coding RNA, 2109 nt
Organism: Vitis riparia (riverbank grape)
Lineage: Eukaryota; Viridiplantae; Streptophyta; Magnoliopsida; Vitales; Vitaceae
Exons: 2
Source: RefSeq, a predicted model, not a curated record
CAUUUCUCUUGGGCGUUCUAUGUGUUCUCUCUGGAUUUUUCCUUCAGAUCUGGGUCUUCAACCAUUUCCGGCCUCCGAUUUUCUUCCAUUCCCUGCAUAUAAAUCAACGAUCAACCGUUUGAUUAUGGCUUUUUGUCAUUUCACUGCCGAUUUUUAUGUUUUACGCUUUCAAGUUUUCUUUAAAUUUUCUUCUAGAUCGUCUCUUUCAUAAGGUAUGUUGAAUUGCAGUUAUGUUGAAUUUGCAACCGUCUUUGUUUGGGAUCUCGAAGAGGAAUUAGGGUGCAGACCUUCAGGCCGCCGGAUCUUUGUUGUACGUGGAUGUCUUGGUUUCGGAUUUGCCGAUAUUCUUCUGGAUCUGAAUUACGUCGAUGGUGAAUGUUGCCUGAAGCUGAAAGAUCUUCAGUCACCUCUUAUCUUCGUAUGUGAAUCACAGAGUGGUGCAGCGAUAUACCAUGACACAGAUUUUUUGUGUUCGGUAAAGGUAGGAUGAGGGAGGGCAAGAGGGAGGAAAGGAAGAGGAUGAGAUGUGAAAAUUAUAAGUUAUGCGUAUACGACGAAGGUUGUUUCUUGUUGUUAUGAUAUGACCUUUGCCAUGUCAGGUGCGCUUGCAUGGCAGGUCGAAUAACCUAAUAAAAUUAUUCAGUUUCUUGUUUUUGUGGGGGAUGGCACGGCGUAUUUGGCCGGCUCUCCCACUUGGUGUGUCGUGUCCCCCUUCUCUCUUUUCCUUUUCUUGGCAUGCUACCAUUAAUUGGCCAUUCUCGUUGGACUGAUCGGAUUGUUGCUACCUCAAUCCUUUGUCCAUGCCAAAUAACUUGUAUGGUUAAAAGCAAGACCUCCGCACGCCCUUCAUGAAUGGUGCCAAGUCAAGAAGGUAUAUGGGCCAAUGUUCUUGACCAAUAUCUCAUAUACAUCCUCUAAUAUAAAAAAAAUUCAUAUACAUCCCAUAAUAUUACCGGGUCCAAUUUUCUUCAUAGUUCUUGGAAUAUUUCAUACACAUCCCAUAGCAUUAUAUCGGCCAAUGUUCUUCAUAGUAUUUGGAUUAUCUAUUUGAAAUAGUUAUUUGAUAGCAUUAUUACAUCCACAAAUACAUUCAGCAGAUUUACGUGAUGGCUUCCCAGAACGUUAAUCUUUAUUAAGCACGAUUAACAUUAUUCAUUCCAUUGUUGACCUUACAGUAUUGUUAUAAAAUAUCACUAAUAUACAAUUUUCCUAGUAUAUUGGAGGGUUUGCAUUUAUGCAUUUUUUUAAUCUUGUAUCAUGUUUAGAAAUUGUAUUAUUUAUGGCCUGUAGAUGAAGAACUGAAUAUUCAAUUGCGAAGUUUUGGUUGUUGGUUUGGGUUUAGAUAGUUACAUGUUUGUGUUUGUAACAUUUGCCUCAGUGGCUGUUUGUUUUCAACAUAUUUUUGUAUGUUGUAAAAGAGGUUCAUAAAAUAUUUUCUUGAGGGUGACCAUUCCAGCUAGGGCUGUCUCAAAAAUUUUCAGAAUUCUGUCAGGAGUUUUUGUGUACAUCACGGUGUUUGUUUUGCUGCCAAGACAAGGAGGGGCUUGCUUGCAGUAGUCCUCACGAUCAUGGCACAUUUGCCAUUCAUACUGGUGGGCUUAGGUGCAUUCUGCAGCAGAUUGUUGUAAGUGUUUGCAGUUAUUGGAUUAACAUUGUCAUUUUUAUUUUCUGUAAAGAUUAACAUGUCUUAAAUUGUUAUGAAGCAUGAUGGCAACCCUUUAAUUUAUAAAGGUUGUGAGAUUGACAUUUCCUAAAUUAUUUUUUGCUGUAUCUUAAUAUGACUGCUGUAUCUGUGUAGUUCUGUCACAUGAUCUUUAAUGGGCUUGUGAGAUUGGCAUCGCUUGAUUUCUUUUAUGCUGUAUCUUAAUGUGACUCUGCUUCACCAUUGUAGCUCUGUUACAUGAUCUUUAAUGUUGGUGGUUCAGCUUAUUUUGCCAUUGCUACUGGAUUCAGUGUUAUGUUUUCCUUCCCUUUGUAACUUGUACUGUCUUUUAAUUCAACCUAUGAGGCCCCCUCACCUUGAUUCAGCUAUCUCUCUCUUUUUUUUUUUUUUAAUUUGCUGUAUGUAAUAUUAGAUUCUGUAUUUUGGUUGUAACUUGGGUGUUGUGA